RNAcentral lists this ribosomal RNA (647 nucleotides) under Tolypothrix sp. HSN031. RNAcentral describes it as "bacterial SSU rRNA". It matches the Rfam family "Bacterial small subunit ribosomal RNA", at positions 117 to 795 of the family's 1533-position model. Lineage: Bacteria; Bacillati; Cyanobacteriota; Cyanophyceae; Nostocales; Tolypothrichaceae. The record is from RNAcentral.
GCGUAGAAUCUGCCUUCAGGUUCGGGACAACCACUGGAAACGGUGGCUAAUACCGAAUGUGCAGCAAUGUGAAAAAUUUAUUGCCUGAAGAUGAGCUCGCGUCUGAUUAGCUAGUAGGUGUGGUAAGAGCGCACCUAGGCGACGAUCAGUAGCUGGUCUGAGAGGAUGAUCAGCCACACUGGGACUGAGACACGGCCCAGACUCCUACGGGAGGCAGCAGUGGGGAAUUUUCCGCAAUGGGCGAAAGCCUGACGGAGCAAUACCGCGUGAGGGAGGAAGGCUCUUGGGUUGUAAACCUCUUUUCUCAAGGAAGAAAAAAAUGACGGUACUUGAGGAAUAAGCAUCGGCUAACUCCGUGCCAGCAGCCGCGGUAAUACGGAGGAUGCAAGCGUUAUCCGGAAUGAUUGGGCGUAAAGCGUCCGCAGGUGGCUAUGUAAGUCUGCUGUUAAAGAGUCUGGCUCAACCAGAUAAAGGCAGUGGAAACUACAUGGCUAGAGUGCGUUCGGGGCAGAGGGAAUUCCUGGUGUAGCGGUGAAAUGCGUAGAGAUCAGGAAGAACACCGGUGGCGAAAGCGCUCUGCUAGGCCGCAACUGACACUGAGGGACGAAAGCUAGGGGAGCGAAAGGGAUUANAUACCCCCUGUANUC